GCAUAUCAAUAAGCGGAGGAAAAGAAACCAACCGGGAUUGCCUCAGUAACGGCGAGUGAAGCGGCAAGAGCUCAAAUUUGAAAGCUGGCUCCUUCGGAGUCCGCAUUGUAAUUUGCAGAGGAUGCUUUGGGUGCGGCCCCCGUCUAAGUGCCCUGGAACGGGCCGUCAGAGAGGGUGAGAAUCCCGUCUUGGGCGGGGUGUCCGUGCCCGUGUAAAGCUCCUUCGACGAGUCGAGUUGUUUGGGAAUGCAGCUCUAAAUGGGUGGUAAAUUUCAUCUAAAGCUAAAUACUGGCCGGAGACCGAUAGCGCACAAGUAGAGUGAUCGAAAGAUGAAAAGCACUUUGAAAAGAGAGUUAAACAGCACGUGAAAUUGUUGAAAGGGAAGCGCUUGCGACCAGACUCGCCCGCGGGGUUCAGCCGGCAUUCGUGCCGGUGUACUUCCCCGUGGGCGGGCCAGCGUCGGUUUGGGCGGCCGGUCAAAGGCCCCUGGAAUGUAGUGCCCUCCGGGGCACCUUAUAGCCAGGGGUGCAAUGCGGCCAGCCUGGACCGAGGAACGCGCUUCGGCACGGACGCUGGCAUAAUGGUCGUAAACGACCCGUCUUGAAACACGGACCAAGGAGUCUAACAUCUACGCGAGUGUUCGGGUGUCAAACCCGUGCGCGCAGUGAAAGCGAACGGAGGUGGGAGCCCCCUUGCGGGGCGCACCAUCGACCGAUCCUGAUGUCUUCGGAUGGAUUUGAGUAAGAGCGUAGCUGUGGGGACCCGAAAGAUGGUGAACUAUGCCUGAAUAGGGCGAAGCCAGAGGAAACUCUGGUGGAGGCUCGCAGCGGUUCUGACGUGCAAAUCGAUCGUCAAAUUUGGGUAUAGGGGCGAAAGACUAAUCGAACCAUCUAGUAGCUGGUUCCUGCCGA
Molecule: ribosomal RNA, 911 nt
Filed under: Aspergillus awamori
Lineage: Eukaryota; Fungi; Ascomycota; Eurotiomycetes; Eurotiales; Aspergillaceae
Description: LSU rRNA
Rfam family: Eukaryotic large subunit ribosomal RNA
Source: RNAcentral